RNAcentral lists this ribosomal RNA (238 nucleotides) under uncultured bacterium. Its description in RNAcentral is "partial 16S ribosomal RNA". It matches the Rfam family "Bacterial small subunit ribosomal RNA", at positions 118 to 347 of the family's 1533-position model. The record is from RNAcentral.
UGAGGAACAUGACCUUCGGCGGGGGAUAGCCGGCCCAACGGCCGGGUAAUACCGCGUACGACCACAUGGGGACAUCCCUGAGUGGUGAAAGCAGCAAUGCGCCGAUGGAGUGCCUCGCGGCCUAUCAGCUAGUUGGUGAGGUAACGGCUCACCAAGGCGACGACGGGUAGCUGGUCUGAGAGGAUGGCCAGCCANAUUGGGACUGAGACCACCGGCCCAAGACCUUCGUAACCGGGGA